Molecule: long non-coding RNA, 1025 nt
Organism: Psammomys obesus (fat sand rat)
Lineage: Eukaryota; Metazoa; Chordata; Mammalia; Rodentia; Muridae
Exons: 3
Source: RefSeq, a predicted model, not a curated record
AAAAAAAAUCACUAAAGAAAUAGGCUACGAUUUAAGUAUUGAUUAUAGUUUCUGUCCCUGGAUGACGGCUGUAAUGACUGAUGACCUCAGUAUUUCUCAAAUCCUUAGUAUAAGCCAAAUCCUGUUCAAAGUCUUCAUGAAAUGAUGUGGGAUAGAGAGGGAGUGACAAACUGACAAAAGCACAUUAAUGUAAAGCUUAAAAAUUCUGUUUUGAGUUCUGCCAGCAAACAACAGGGCUCUCACAAACUGGGAAGAACUCCGGGGAAGCGAGCCAAAGCCAGCGUGUCCCAUCUACAGUUGCUUUGCACAUCUUGAUCCAUGUCUCAUCGGCUGAGCGAUACCUUGGCUGUUGUUUAUUCUCAUGGGAUUGGUCUGGUUCUCCACAUCUUGCUGCUGCUAGUGAAGUGCCCAGACUCUGCUACCCAGUAUUCCCCCUCUGCAAAAAUAAAGCAGAAAGGACUUGUCGUUCAUUAUAUAAAUUGUUUCACAAAGAAUAGUAAAAUGGAGGCUGGAGCUGAAUGAGGUCCAUGGAUUGAGCUGACAAGAGCAAACCGCAGUGAAAGAGCAAGCUGGAUUUCCCAGACAGCUCUUCAUCAUGAUCUGAUUGUUCGUUUCUGUGUCACCGCUGGGCUUGCCGAUGUGCAGGGUUAGCAGCAUACCAUUUUGUAGCUUGUGAACCUUUCUCAUUGGGCAUGAUACAUCUUCUUCCUGCCGCUCUGGGGCAGACCAGUUCAGUGUUUGUACUGCUCUGAGACUCAAAGUCUUAAUUCCACGUUUCACACAGUUAACUCUUUUUCUUAUGUAAUCACUUCAGUUUGUCAACCAAAAUGCGUCCAAGUGAAAGCUGUUAACAAUGCAGAAAAGUUUCUGUUACUUUACUUGAGUAAGUUAUACAUUCUCUUCCAUCCUACUGUAUCUACACCUUCUUUCUUUUUUCUUUUCUUUUCUUUUUUUUUCUUUUAGUUUUUCAAGACAAGGUUUCCCUGUCUAGUCCUGAUUGUUCUGGAACUCACUCUGUAGAUUAG